AUACUUACCUGGACGGGGUCAAUGGGUGAUCAAAAAGGCCCAUGGCCUAGGUUGACGACCUCCAUUGCACUACGGAGGGGCGUCCGCCUAAGGUCGGCUCAAGUAGUCGAGCCUACGUCAUAAUUUGUGCCAGUGAGGGCCUGCGUUCGCGCGGCCCUCGU
Small nuclear RNA from Cynara cardunculus var. scolymus (artichoke), 161 nucleotides. RefSeq annotates it as U1 spliceosomal RNA. NCBI's taxonomy places the organism in Eukaryota, Viridiplantae, Streptophyta, Magnoliopsida, Asterales, Asteraceae. The record is from RefSeq and is a predicted model, not a curated record. The transcript has a single exon.